GUACCAAUAUUCUGCAUCCUUAGGAAUGGUUUUCAAUAAUUUUGGUAUUAUGUAGUUUUCACCCUUCAAAUAUUUUAAGUUACUAUAACAUGACCUUGUAGUUUCUAUUUCAAGCAAUGGAGAAUCAAGGUCAGCAUCUUGUUCAAAAUUAUCAAAAUAGUGGUUUUAUUUUUUUCACUUCUUAUUUUCAUUUCAUAUUUGUAGAAAGAGAUGAUUCUCCU
RNAcentral lists this unclassified non-coding RNA (221 nucleotides) under Hevea brasiliensis (rubber tree). Lineage: Eukaryota; Viridiplantae; Streptophyta; Magnoliopsida; Malpighiales; Euphorbiaceae. The record is from RNAcentral.